AGGGUAAUCGCUCAGUGGUAGAGCACGUGCUUAGCAUGCGUGAGGUCCUGGGUUCAAUCCCUGGUACCGCUG
Molecule: transfer RNA, 72 nt
Filed under: Camelus bactrianus (Bactrian camel)
Lineage: Eukaryota; Metazoa; Chordata; Mammalia; Artiodactyla; Camelidae
Also listed under: 2 other names
Rfam family: tRNA
About the family: Transfer RNA (tRNA) molecules are approximately 80 nucleotides in length. Their secondary structure includes four short double-helical elements and three loops (D, anti-codon, and T loops).
Source: Rfam by way of RNAcentral